RNAcentral lists this long non-coding RNA (1613 nucleotides) under Rhinopithecus bieti (black snub-nosed monkey). RNAcentral's name for it is "lncRNA (ENSRBIG00000046591.1)". Lineage: Eukaryota; Metazoa; Chordata; Mammalia; Primates; Cercopithecidae. The record is from RNAcentral.
CUUCCCGACAUCUUGCAGCGGACUGUGCCUUACAGGCUGCGGGAGGGGAGAGUGUCUCCCCACGCCGGGGUCCCGGCCUCUGGGUUUUAGGGAGCGCGAAUGGGUCUCCGAGAGCAUCGGGAGCAGCCGGUGGCGCCUCAGGCUGCGGUGGCCACGAGCCCGACUGCACUACGGCGUUGCGGGACCGCGCCAGCGCGGAGGAGACCGAGCCCAUCUCAGCGCGCCUGGCCGGACCCAGGCCUCUGACCUCAUCGACCAAGAACCUGCCAGAGUUCAUUCCGGAGUCCCACCAACAGGUGCUCAGCAGAAUCUGCACUGAGGAGCAUUGGAAAGAUCUGACCCACCUGCCAACAUCCUACCAGAACCCGAAAGUCACCAAUUGGGAUUUAUGUCUUUGGAUCCUGAAGUUUUAACCAUUGACAAUGUUGAAUUUUACCUGAGCCCUGUGCUUCUGGAAAAGAGGGAAGGUCAAGACAUCCCCCACUGUCUUAAGCAAUUCAGGCUGCUAUAGCAAAAAAUAUCGCAGACUGGGUGGCUUAAACAGCAAACAUUUAUUUCUCACGGUUCUGGAGGCUGGAGGUCUGAGAUCAGGGUGCCAGCAUGGCUGGGUUCUGUUGAGGAACCUCUUCCUGGUUACAUCUUCACACGGCCUUUCCCUGGUAGGUGCACCCAGGAAAAGAGAUCUCAUGUCUUCUUCUCUUUUUAUAAGAGCACUAAUCCCAUCAUGGGGGCUCUAACCUGGUCCCACCUCCAAAUACCAUUACUUUGGGGAUUAAUAUUUCAACAUAUGAAUGAGGGGGAGGGCACAAACAUCCUUUUGUGUUGUGGAAAAUGGUUUACCACAAAAAACCACCCUUCCCCAUAUGACUGAGAAAAGACUCACAGAUACCUCCUUGCUUAUCUAUGACAAGGCUAGACACAGACCUUUCAAAUUCCAAUUUUUUGCUUCAUAAACGAACUGUUAUGAACUGUUACGAAGGACAUAGGACAAAAUAAGAAGUUAACCAAACUUGGCUGGAUGUGGUGGCUCACACCUGUAAUUCCCAGCACUUUGGGAGGAUGAGGCAGAUGGAUUACUUGAGGUCAGGAGUUCGAGACCAGCCUGGCCAACACAGCAAAACACCUUUCUACUAAAAAUACAAAAAUUAGCCAGGCAUGGUGGUGCACACCUGUAGUCCCAGCUACUUGGGAGGCUGAGACAGGAGAACUGCUUGAACUCAGUGGGUGGAGGCUGCAGUGAGCCGAGAUCACACCACCACACUCCAGCCUGGGUGACAGAGCAAGACUGUCUCAAAAAUAAAAGUAAAAAAAGAAGAAGAAGUUAACUUGGUUAAAAUUCUCUCCUUCCCACAAGCCUCUGAACUUUGACCCACUCUCAGCCUCAACCAGCAGACAGCCCCUCCAGAGAACAGGCUGACCUCAGGGUAAAAUGUUCUCUGAUGUACUAUCUGGUCGUGUCAUUGUUUCAUCCCACUUCCCCACACCACAGUUCUUUCUAGUUUUGUUUAUUCCUCUUUAUAAAACCCUUAUUCGCCUAACUCCUGAGACAACCACAAAUCUUAUGGUCAGUAUUUCUCCCUAUUGCAACAGUCAGUCCCCCAGUUCUCAUUUCC